RNAcentral lists this unclassified non-coding RNA (349 nucleotides) under soil metagenome. RNAcentral's name for it is "partial contains 5.8S ribosomal RNA, internal transcribed spacer 2, and large subunit ribosomal RNA". The stretch from base 1 to 120 matches the Rfam family "5.8S ribosomal RNA", at positions 35 to 154 of the family's 154-position model. The record is from RNAcentral.
GAUGAAGAACGCAGCGAAAUGCGAUAACUAAUGUGAAUUGCAGAAUUCCGUGAAUCAUCGAGUCUUUGAACGCACAUUGCGCCCCCUGGUAUUCCGGGGGGCAUGCCUGUCCGAGCGUCAUUGCUGCCCAUCAAGCACGGCUUGUGUGUUGGGUCCUCGUCCCCCCCGGGGAACGUGCCCGAAAGGCAGCGGCGGCACCGCGUCCGGUCCUCGAGCGUAUGGGGCUUUGUCACCCGCUCUGCAGGCCCGGCCGGCGCUGGCCGACGCGAAAGCAACCAUUUUUUCUCCAGGUUGACCUCGGAUCAGGUAGGGAUACCCGCUGAACUUAAGCAUAUCAAUAAGCGGAGGA